UUUCCUCUUCUCCGGAUAUCUUGUAUUUCUACACGCUGUGUACGGCUUUCAGGAGAUUUUGAUAUCGUCCCAGGUCCAGGAUGAGCAUUAUAACCCCCAGCGAUGAUGAUGAGACCCGGCAGUUCUACCAGCAGCUCCGUCAGUAUGAAGAUCACUUCCUGAGGAUGACGUAUGAAUAUUUCCAGGAUGAUCUGCUCCACAUCGUGGAGAACAUGAGUUUUCCACCACUUCUGCAU
This is a long non-coding RNA of Bufo gargarizans (Asiatic toad), 236 nucleotides long. RefSeq lists it as uncharacterized. Lineage: Eukaryota; Metazoa; Chordata; Amphibia; Anura; Bufonidae. The transcript has 3 exons. The record is from RefSeq and is a predicted model, not a curated record.